CUCUCUCUUCAGUGUGUGUGUGUGAUGAGCUCUCUCUCUUCAGUGUGUGUGUGUAUGAGCUCAGUGUGUCACUGUUCUGGUGUUUUGUCUCAGGUAUUCACUAAAGGUCUUCACGAUGGAGACGCUGGAGACAGAGAAGAAGGAGCGGUUCAUUCAGAUCAGUAAGGUGGAUGAAGAGGAGAGGAGGAGGAGGGAGCAGCAGAAGCAGCAGAGGGAGCAGGAGGAGCUGAAUGAUGCUGUGGGGCUUCUCCAGGCGUUAUCAGAGC
Long non-coding RNA from Cyprinus carpio (common carp), 266 nucleotides. RefSeq lists it as uncharacterized. The record is from RefSeq and is a predicted model, not a curated record. The transcript is spliced from 3 exons. Lineage: Eukaryota; Metazoa; Chordata; Actinopteri; Cypriniformes; Cyprinidae.